RNAcentral lists this ribosomal RNA (445 nucleotides) under uncultured bacterium. Its description in RNAcentral is "partial 16S ribosomal RNA". It matches the Rfam family "Bacterial small subunit ribosomal RNA", at positions 354 to 796 of the family's 1533-position model. The record is from RNAcentral.
GUGAGGAAUAUUGGUCAAUGGGCGAGAGCCUGAACCAGCCAAGUCGCGUGAAGGAUGAAGGUUUUAUGAAUUGUAAACUUCUUUUGCAGGGGAAUAAAGUACGGUACGUGUACCGUUUUGUAUGUACUCUGCGAAUAAGGAUCGGCUAACUCCGUGCCAGCAGCCGCGGUAAUACGGAGGAUCCAAGCGUUAUCCGGAUUUAUUGGGUUUAAAGGGUGCGCAGGCGGGUUGAUAAGUCAGCGGUGAAAGUUUGCAGCUUAACUGUAAAAUUGCCGUUGAAACUGUCGAUCUUGAGUGCAAAUGAGGUAAGCGGAAUGUGUUGUGUAGCGGUGAAAUGCUUAGAUAUAACACAGAACACCGAUUGCGAAGGCAGCUUACUGGGAUGCAACUGACGCUCAUGCACGAAAGCGUGGGGAUCAAACAGGAUUAGAUACCCGGGUAGUCC